UCCGGUUUAACACCGGCAGUCUCAUUAGAGUCCCCGACUUAACGCUGGUAACUAAUGACAAGGGUUUCGCUCGUUAAGGGACUUAACCCGACAUCUCACGACACGAGCUGACGACAGCCAUGCAGCACCUGUGGAAGUUUCACCCUUGCGGGCAGACUACACUGUUUCCAAUAAGUCAUCCAACCAUGUCAAACCCAGGUAAGGUUCUGCGCGUUGCUUCGAAUUGAUCCACAUACUCCACCGCUUGUGUGAGCCCCCGUCAAUUCCUUUGAGUUUUAGCCUUGCGACCGUACUUCCCAGGCGGCCUACUUAACACUUUUGCUUCGGCCGUAAAAGCGUCAGAGCUUCUACAACCUAGUAGGCAUCGUUUAGGGCGUGGACUA
Molecule: unclassified non-coding RNA, 383 nt
Filed under: uncultured Phycisphaerae bacterium
Lineage: Bacteria; Pseudomonadati; Planctomycetota; Phycisphaerae
Description: contains 16S-23S intergenic spacer region
Source: RNAcentral